CAGAUGCUGAAACGAAACAGCACAUGAAAGUUUCUGACAGUUCAAAGCUCAUGAAUAUUUAAUGAGCAUCAGCUGGAGUGUUAUCCAUACAGACUGACAAACAGGAGAGAAUAAGAGUGGACCCCACUGAUAUUUCACCCCCACCUGCCCUGCCGUUAAGAACAAUGUGGGAGCUCCUUUAUGAGUGAAUGACUCCGUCCCCACAUUCACUAUCUCUCAUAACCUGCAGGACAAACAAAGAGCCAAGCACUUCCUAUUGCUUGCUUCAGUGAAGGUGCAUCUGAGUGUGAAGCAAUUUCUCCAAGGAGGACGUUGCUCCUCAAAAAAGCUGAAUGAGAAAGUAUUGGCAUUUCAGAAUUUUUACA
Molecule: long non-coding RNA, 365 nt
Organism: Sinocyclocheilus anshuiensis
Lineage: Eukaryota; Metazoa; Chordata; Actinopteri; Cypriniformes; Cyprinidae
Exons: 3
Source: RefSeq, a predicted model, not a curated record